RNAcentral lists this ribosomal RNA (635 nucleotides) under uncultured bacterium. RNAcentral's name for it is "bacterial SSU rRNA". It matches the Rfam family "Bacterial small subunit ribosomal RNA", at positions 232 to 885 of the family's 1533-position model. The record is from RNAcentral.
CGCGGCCUAUCAGCUUGUUGGUGGGGUAAAGGCCUACCAAGGCGACGAUCAGUAGCCGACCUGAGAGGGUGAUCGGCCACACUGGAACUGAGACACGGUCCAGACUCCUACGGGAGGCAGCAGUGGGGAAUAUUGCACAAUGGGCGAAAGCCUGAUGCAGCAACGCCGCGUGAGCGAAGAAGGCCUUCGGGUCGUAAAGCUCUGUCCUAAGGGAAGAAUAAUGACGGUACCUUAGGAGGAAGCCCCGGCUAACUACGUGCCAGCAGCCGCGGUAAUACGUAGGGGGCGAGCGUUAUCCGGAAUCACUGGGCGUAAAGGGUGCGUAGGCGGCCAAAUAAGCCAGGGGUGAAAGGCUACGGCUCAACCGUAGUAAGCCUUUGGAACUGUAUGGCUUGAGUGCAGGAGAGGAGAGUGGAAUUCCUAGUGUAGCGGUGAGAUGCGUAGAUAUUAGGAGGAACACCAGUGGCGAAGGCGACUCUCUGGACUGCAACUGACGCUGAGGCACGAAAGCGUGGGGAGCGAACAGGAUUAGAUACCCUGGUAGUCCACGCCGUAAACGAUGAGUGCUAGGUGUCGGGGGUUCAUACCCUCGGUGCCGGAGUUAACGCAUUAAGCACCCCGCCUGGGGAGUACGG